CGCCUUUCGAUAAAUUAACAUGAAAGGUCCUGCCUGCCCAGUGACAUACUUAAACGGCCGCGGUAUUAUGACCGUGCAAAGGUAGCAUAAUCACUUGUCUUUUAAAUAAAGACCAGUAUGAAUGGCAAGACGAAACCCAACUGUCUCCUUAAGCUAGUCAAUGAAAUUGAUUUUCCCGUGCAGAAGCGGGAAUAUAUAUAUAAGACGAGAAGACCCUGUGGAGCUUAAAAUAAAACUAUAUAGAUAUUCUAUAAUAGUAUUAAAUUUUUGGUUGGGGCGACCAUGAGGUAAAACACAACCCUCAAGACAACAACUAGAAGGACACUUCAAAAUAAAACUAUACAUUGACCCAAUAAUGAUCAACGAACCAAGUUACCCCAGGGAUAACAGCGCAAUCCAUUCCCAGAGUCCAUAUCGACGAAUGGGUUUACGACCUCGAUGUUGGAUCAGGACCCCCUAAUGGUGCAACAACUAUUAAAGGUUCGUUUGUUCAACGAUUAAAGUCCU
RNAcentral lists this ribosomal RNA (507 nucleotides) under Chiropterotriton terrestris (terrestrial splayfoot salamander). RNAcentral describes it as "partial 16S ribosomal RNA". It matches the Rfam family "Bacterial large subunit ribosomal RNA", at positions 1817 to 2597 of the family's 2925-position model. The record is from RNAcentral. Lineage: Eukaryota; Metazoa; Chordata; Amphibia; Caudata; Plethodontidae.